Molecule: ribosomal RNA, 226 nt
Filed under: uncultured bacterium
Lineage: Bacteria
Description: partial 16S ribosomal RNA
Rfam family: Bacterial small subunit ribosomal RNA
Source: RNAcentral
AAGUCGGGUGUGAAAUCCCUCGGCCCAACCGAGGAACUGCGCCCGAAACUGCAUGUCUUGAGGACAGGAGGGGAGCGCGGAAUUCCUGGUGGAGCGGUGAAAUGCGUUGAUAUCAGGAGGAACACCGGCGGCGAAGGCGGCGCUCUGGCCUGUUUCUGACGCUGAGGUGCGAAAGCCAGGGGAGCAAACGGGAUUAGAUACCCCGGUAGUCCUGGCCGCAAACGAU